UGCGCAGGCGGGUUUGUAAGUCAGUGGUGAAAUCCUGCCGCUUAACGGUAGAAUUGCCAUUGAUACUGCGAAUCUUGAGUAUGGUUGAGGUAGGCGGAAUGUGUAGUGUAGCGGUGAAAUGCAUAGAUAUUACACAGAACUCCGAUUGCGAAGGCAGCUUACUAAGCCAUAACUGACGCUGAGGCGCGAAAGCGUGGGGAGCGAACAGGAUUAGAUACCCUGGUAGUCC
RNAcentral lists this ribosomal RNA (229 nucleotides) under uncultured bacterium. RNAcentral describes it as "partial 16S ribosomal RNA". It matches the Rfam family "Bacterial small subunit ribosomal RNA", at positions 568 to 796 of the family's 1533-position model. The record is from RNAcentral.